CUGGAGGAGCCGUGGAGUACCGCAAGCCCCGCGGCUGCCCACAGAACGCGUGGACCGCCGAGCACACAGAUGGAGCCUGUGUUUGUGUACUUGGACCAGCCUCCUUGGCAGACAAGUCAAGUCCCUGUGACCUGCAGUUCCCCAGCUGGUGCUCUUUUCAGCCUUGCCUGUUAGGCACUGUUUCCCUGGAAGGGUGAGUUGCCAGUGCCAGCCCACCAUCAGCUGCCUGUGCCUGGAUUCGCAUCAGUGGUGGCACCAGGCAGUUGCUGCCAGCCUUGUGUCCUAAGAGUGAGCUGCCUACCUGUGGACAGAUGAGGGAAACCUUGGCCUUGGGCCCUGUGCCCAGGAAAUUCCAGAGCAGGUGUCAUGGAGAGACUAUGUGGAGCUCUUGUCAUCUCGGGCUAGUUCUUCUCCCAUCCUCCAGAUGCUGCCUCAUCGAGGUGGUGCAUGUCCAUUCACCAUGAGGUCCCUUGCCGCCUUCUGUCAUGUCCUUGUAUGAGGAAUGUGCAACCCUGAAGGAUGUGUAGAAGACAUUGGAGUUGUCCUGCUGUUGAUCGAGACCCCUUGCUGUGCUGCUGUGGUGUGGCAUGGGGAAGAUCCGGGUCUAGAACAUGGGGUACAGUGAGGACCUGAUAACAUGCCUAGUGAAUCCCUCACUGCGCUCUUAGACAGGGUAGGCAAAUCCACAUGCCGUCAAGUACAAGCACAUUCAUCUCAUGGCCCAUGGAAAGAAACAGAAGUAUCCACAUGGGACGGUCUUGAGGGGAAGUUGCCUGGCAGGCCUAUCUUCGCCUGGGCAUAUGUGGUUCCCGAUGACCAGAAGUGUCAUGGAAUCCUGCAAGCCUCAUGUCCUCCCAGUGAUCUCCAGCCUGGUGUCUGAUUGAGGGUGGGUGUUGCUGGGACCACUGCCUGCCAGCUACCUGUGUCUGGUACCUUAGUGCUGGAUGCAGUGAGAAGUUGCUGCACAUCUUGUGUUUUGCCAGUGAGCUCUGUACCUAUGAAUGGUUGAGGAAGAUCCAGCGCAUUGCCGCAGGCGGGGGCUGCAGGAGCAGGCCUCCCCUUGGAGGAUGGUCAUGUUCUUUUGCCACCCAGUGGUCUGAGGCUGGUCAAGUGCACAUCUCCAGGGGCCUGAAGGUCAGGUUUUCAGUGGAGUGAGCCUGGCUAGGGGGAGUUGCCCUGCAUGCAUGCCUUCUGCUCAUGUUCCUGGUUCCUGGGCAUCUGGAGGGCUACAAGCCUUGUGUCCUCCUGAUGAGCUCCUGGCCUGUGGAUGGUUCAGGAUGGUAUAUUUGACUCUACUAUGCAAGGAAUAAGAGAGGAAUAUGGAUCUUACAGAACAGGUAGUAUUGCUGUGUGACCAAUUCCAGGGACAAAAGGGAGGACUAGUGUGUCCUGAGGUCCCCAGUGAAGUCAGCAAACCCUGGGACACCUGGCUGAUGAAUGACUGAUGGUGGUAGCGUCGCUAUGUGAUGGACUCCAAAGACCUAUUGGGAAGACCUGUGUAUCUUCGGAUCCCCAUAGAGCGUGCCUGUGUUUCUUCUGCAUUUCCCAGUUGGCACUGCCAUAUGAGGGACUUCAGGGAUCUAGAGAGAAGAACUGUGCAUCCUGAGGUCCUCAGAGAAGCCGACGAGUCCUCAAAUGCUUGUGGAUUGACUUAUUUGGGGUAGCAGUGGAUGUUUGAUGAAGCACUUCACAUAUGGCAGAUUCCAGAGUCAUAGUGUGAAGAUCUGCACACCCCGAGAGUCCCAGAGAGCUCCACAGACUGCAGUGCUGUUAAGGGGCUGCUUUUGAAUGAAGAUGAAGAAUACCAGAAUUCCCUGGAAUGUCAUCGCCAAACCAGUGAAGUUCUGAUUUUUGUCACCUUCAUCUGUGAAGGAACAAAACAGUGUACUCUUAGGGUAAAAGAAGACAGAACUGGGCUUCGUAUGGAUAAAUUUCUUCUUUCCUUUCUGUUGUGACACAAAGGAAAGGAUAAGGAGAAAUUCACUCUCAAUCUCAAGAUUCAAGGGGAGUUCUUGUAUGGUGAAGAUAGAGCCCAGAAAAGAGGGGCAGUUGUUCAGGCUCUUACAUUAACUCCCAAAUGUUAGUUCCAGAACAUGAGUAGCAACUUACUUUCCAGUCAGACUGUCCACUCCUCUGGUCUCUUGGACUGUCUUGCAGAAAGUGACUUCCUGGGAGGUCUGGGAAUCACUGCUACCAGUAAAUCCUUGAAAGAAGAUUACUCAUAAAACUCUUCACCUGCAAACCCUCUGAAGGUGACAGUUACAGUGACAGAUGGGGUGAUAAGUUACAGUUGGUGCUGUUCCUCCUACCGCCAUCUUCACCGAAACAGUGACAGUUUUCCUUUGCAUGGAGCGUCCUUCCUUCCUGCGUGGCAGCGGAUACCUUCUGCAGAUAAGAAAUGCUUAACUGAGAAAUGCUCAUGUUGGGAUGUCAUCGAUGAGACCUUAAUUUGGGCAUGGUGACUGUUUCCCUUGCUGCCACUUGACUCAAUCCCAGGAGCCUCAGUAGAGGAAAUAAUAAUGCACAAGAAGCUCAAAAUGGUGGAAUUUCUCAGUGCUCCUAUACAUUUAUAAUUUUUAUUUGCCAUGUUGGAUAAAUUUUAAAAUAGCAUAUAUUUAAAGAAACUGCAUGAUUUUUUUUCCCAAAAUUCAAAGCAUAUCCAAACAAUUGACAUAUAAAUUGGUUCCCUGCUCUCUUUCAAUUCUAUAGUUUUCCUCUGUUAAGGGAGGUGUGUGCAUUCUUUUAAUGGAUAGAUGUGCACAUGCUAUUUUUGGGAGGGGGUCUAGAAGUGGGUCCAUCUUGUAAUACAUUCGUCUGCAAAUUACUGCCUUCAUUUAUCAGUCUUUUCAGUGGGCAUUUUCUAAUAUAUACACAUCUGUGUCAUUUGUUGAGUGACUGCAUAACUGUUUUGUAGAUGAAAUAUAAUUAAAUGUUUUAAGCAUUUCUCAUUCAUAGAUGUUUAUGUUAGCACCAAAUUUCUGUGCAAUGAACCUCCCUACAUAUCAACAAUUCUGCUUUGUCAAUGAUAUCAUAAUAAAAUUCCUCAGCAGUUGAAUUACUGGGAUUAAGGGUGUGCACGCUUCAAAUUUUGAGAAUUAUUGCAAGAUUUCCUUUAAAAUAUGUUUAAUAACUUUAAUGGCAAUGAAUGAGAUUGCCAAAUUUCUCACAACCUCACAGAUAAAUGGAUUUUAUAAAUAUUUAAAAUCUUUGCCAGUGCAAUCGCCCAAACUAUUGUCUUAAAUUGUAUUUCUUUUGUUUUUGAGUUUGAUCAUUUUUUCAUGUUUAUUAGCCAUCUGUAUUUUUUAAUUUCUUCUUUAUGUCCAAUUUUGGGGGUAUGGGGAGGUUUUAGUCUCAGAUUUCAAAAAGCACAUUUAUUAUUGGUAAAAUAAGUUUUGGAUUGUUAAUCAUUACAGAUAUUUUUACACACUUUUAAACUUUGUUUUUGUUAUAAGAAUGUGUAUGGUUGUUAUAUGUUCAAGUAUAACCAUGUUCACUUUUAUGGCUUCUAAGUUCCAUGUCAUUUUUGGAAAGAUAUUUAUACUGAGUCCAUAAAAUCCUUCACCUAUGUUAA
Long non-coding RNA from Chinchilla lanigera (long-tailed chinchilla), 3571 nucleotides. RefSeq lists it as uncharacterized. NCBI's taxonomy places the organism in Eukaryota, Metazoa, Chordata, Mammalia, Rodentia, Chinchillidae. The transcript is spliced from 19 exons. The record is from RefSeq and is a predicted model, not a curated record.